CCUACGGGUGGCAGCAGUGGGGGAUAUUGCACAAUGGGGGGAACCCUGAUGCAGCGACGCCGCGUGGGUGAAGGAGCGUUUCGGCGCGUAAAGCCCUAUCGGCAGGGAAGAAGGAGGACGGUAUCUGACUAAGAAGCCCCGGCUAACUACGUGCCAGCAGCCGCGGGAAUACGUAGGGGGCAAGCGGUAUCCGGAUUUACUGGGUGUAAAGGGGGCGCAGACGGCAGCGCAAGCCAGGAGUGAAAGCCCGGGGCCCAACCCCGGGACUGCGCUUGGAACUGCGCGGCUGGAGUGCGGGAGGGGCAGGCGGAAUUCCUGGUGUAGCGGUGAAAUGCGUAGAUAUCAGGAGGAACACCGGUGGCGAAGGCGGCCUGCUGGACUGCGACUGACGUUGAGGCCCGAAAGCGUGGGGAGCAAACAGGAUUAGAUACCCUUGUAGUC
Molecule: ribosomal RNA, 441 nt
Filed under: uncultured bacterium
Lineage: Bacteria
Description: partial 16S ribosomal RNA
Rfam family: Bacterial small subunit ribosomal RNA
Source: RNAcentral